AUUGAACGCUGGCGGCAGGCCUAACACAUGCAAGUCGAGCGGAUGAAGGGAGCUUGCUCCUGGAUUCAGCGGCGGACGGGUGAGUAAUGCCUAGGAAUCUGCCUUGUAGUGGGGGAUAACGUCCGGAAACGGGCGCUAAUACCGCAUACGUCCUGAGUGAGAAAGUGGGGGAUCUUCGGACCUCACGCUAUCAGAUGAGCCUAUGUCGGAUUAGCUAGUUGGUGGGGUAAAGGCCUACAAAGGCGACGAUCCGUAACUGGUCUGAGAGGAUGAUCAGUCACACUGGAACUGAGACACGGUCCAGACUCCUACGGGAGGCAGCAGUGGGGAAUAUUGGACAAUGGGCGAAAGCCUGAUCCAGCCAUGCCGCGUGUGUGAAGAAGGUCUUCGGAUUGUAAAGCACUUUAAGUUGGGAGGAAGGGCAGUAAGUUAAUACCUUGCUGUUUUGACGAUACCAACAGAAUAAGCACCGGCUAACUUCGUG
RNAcentral lists this ribosomal RNA (484 nucleotides) under uncultured bacterium. Its description in RNAcentral is "partial 16S ribosomal RNA". It matches the Rfam family "Bacterial small subunit ribosomal RNA", at positions 30 to 507 of the family's 1533-position model. The record is from RNAcentral.